This 380-nucleotide ribosomal RNA is filed under the name uncultured bacterium. RNAcentral's name for it is "bacterial SSU rRNA". It matches the Rfam family "Bacterial small subunit ribosomal RNA", at positions 29 to 409 of the family's 1533-position model. The record is from RNAcentral.
AUUGAACGCUGGCGGCGUGCCUAACACAUGCAAGUCGAGCGGUAACAGGUGUAGCAAUACAUGCUGACGAGCGGCGGACGGGUGAGUAACGCUUGGGAAUCUGCCUAUUAGUGGGGGACAACCCGGGGAACUCGGGCUAAUACCGCAUACGCUCUACGGAGGAAAGCCGGGGACCGCAAGGCCUGGCGCUAAUAGAUGAGCCCAAGUCGGAUUAGCUAGUUGGUAGGUAAUGGCCUACCAAGGCGACGAUCCGUAACUGGUCCUGAGAGGACGACCAGUCACACCGGAACUGAGACACGGUCCGGACUCCUACGGGAGGCAGCAGUGGGGAAUAUUGGACAAUGGGGGCAACCCUGAUCCAGCCAUGCCGCGUGCGGGAA